This 279-nucleotide ribosomal RNA is filed under the name uncultured bacterium. RNAcentral describes it as "partial 16S ribosomal RNA". It matches the Rfam family "Bacterial small subunit ribosomal RNA", at positions 506 to 784 of the family's 1533-position model. The record is from RNAcentral.
UGCCAGCCGCCGCGGUAAUACGGAGGGUGCAAGCGUUAAUCGGAAUUACUGGGCGUAAAGGGUGCGUAGGUUGUUAUGCAAGUUGGCUGUGAAAUUCCUGGGCUUAACCUAGGGUGGUCAACCAAGACUGCAUGACUUGAGUAUGGGAGAGGGUAUUGGAAUUUCCGGUGUAGCGGUGAAAUGCGUAGAGAUCGGAAGGAACACCAGUGGCGAAGGCGGAUACCUGGCCCAAUACUGACACUGAGGCACGAAAGCGUGGGGAGCAAACAGGAUUAGAUA